Molecule: ribosomal RNA, 767 nt
Filed under: Clavibacter sp.
Lineage: Bacteria; Bacillati; Actinomycetota; Actinomycetes; Micrococcales; Microbacteriaceae
Description: bacterial SSU rRNA
Rfam family: Bacterial small subunit ribosomal RNA
Source: RNAcentral
GGCGGAUCAGUGGCGAACGGGUGAGUAACACGUGAGUAACCUGCCCCCGACUCUGGGAUAACUGCUAGAAAUGGUAGCUAAUACCGGAUAUGACGACUGGCCGCAUGGUCUGGUCGUGGAAAGAAUUUCGGUUGGGGAUGGACUCGCGGCCUAUCAGGUUGUUGGUGAGGUAAUGGCUCACCAAGCCUACGACGGGUAGCCGGCCUGAGAGGGUGACCGGCCACACUGGGACUGAGACACGGCCCAGACUCCUACGGGAGGCAGCAGUGGGGAAUAUUGCACAAUGGGCGAAAGCCUGAUGCAGCAACGCCGCGUGAGGGAUGACGGCCUUCGGGUUGUAAACCUCUUUUAGUAGGGAAGAAGCGAAAGUGACGGUACCUGCAGAAAAAGCACCGGCUAACUACGUGCCAGCAGCCGCGGUAAUACGUAGGGUGCAAGCGUUGUCCGGAAUUAUUGGGCGUAAAGAGCUCGUAGGCGGUUUGUCGCGUCUGCUGUGAAAUCCCGAGGCUCAACCUCGGGUCUGCAGUGGGUACGGGCAGACUAGAGUGCGGUAGGGGAGAUUGGAAUUCCUGGUGUAGCGGUGGAAUGCGCAGAUAUCAGGAGGAACACCGAUGGCGAAGGCAGAUCUCUGGGCCGUAACUGACGCUGAGGAGCGAAAGCAUGGGGAGCGAACAGGAUUAGAUACCCUGGUAGUCCAUGCCGUAAACGUUGGGAACUAGAUGUGGGGACCAUUCCACGGUCUCCGUGUCGCAGCUAACGCAUUAAGU